RNAcentral lists this long non-coding RNA (915 nucleotides) under Homo sapiens (human). RNAcentral describes it as "HSALNT0201942". The record is from RNAcentral. Lineage: Eukaryota; Metazoa; Chordata; Mammalia; Primates; Hominidae.
GUGGACAUCUGGGUUGGCUGCCUCAGCCAGGUCCCCUGUGGCGAGUGCAUGGCAGGCCUCAGUACUCCCGAGAGGGCAGAAAGCACACAGGUGGUGCUGAGAGCUUGCUGGUGCCGGGUGCCAGCAGCUGAUGCAGGGCUUACCCGGGUGAAAGAAGAAACAGUCCCUGCUCUAGAGAAGCUCACAGUUUAACAGGGAGACAGACAUGCCAACAAAUAUCUGUAUUAAGUUUUGUAAUUAUAGUGUGUACAAAGGUUACAGGAAGACAGAAGAAGGAGAAAAUAGUCAAUGUAUUUAAUCAUCCCAGCAACCGUGGGAGACAGGAAUUGUUGGCUCAUUUUCACAGAUGGGGAAACUGAGCUAAAACUCCUCAUGAAAUCUACAUGGAUGGAUGACAUGCAGGAAGAAACAUAAGCCAUUUCUUCUCAGAGUUCACCAUAUCACUAAGAAUGAUCAGAAUGAUUGUGAAGCACCGGAAAACUCCUAAACAUGAGAAAAAGAAGAUAAUUUAGAGUUUGUUUAUCAGAGCAUCCAGAAGUAACUGAAGCAAGGCACCUAUGAACUCUGCCUUCCUGGCUCAGAAGCCAGUGCUGACCAGGAACUGUGUACAGGAAAGGGAGCUGCCGCCUGCUGACUGAUCCUGCGGAUCCUGCAGGGGUUGGAUGAGCAGCUUUGCCCUGUCAUAUCCCAGCCUAUCCUCCUGGUCCAGCAGCCCUCCCUGGCCCUCACUGCAGCUCACCAGUAACCCGUUUCUGUUGUGCAGAACUGGAGACCUCUCUUCCAAUGCGCAUUUGCACCAGGGUCUGCUUCUCUCAGAUUCUCUCUCUGGUCUGUGUCCAAGCAUACAGGCCAGAACCCAAGGCCAACCUUACUAUGCAUCCAAGGUUUCAAUUAAAUAAUGGGUUUGGGGGCAGU